CCUACGGGAGGCAGCAGUGGGGAAUCUUGCACAAUGGGCGAAAGCCUGAUGCAGCCAUGCCGCGUGAAUGAUGAAGGCCUUAGGGUUGUAAAAUUCUUUCGCUAGGGAUGAUAAUGACAGUACCUAGUAAAGAAGCACCGGCUAACUUCGUGCCAGCAGCCGCGGUAAUACGAAGGGUGCUAGCGUUGUUCGGAAUUACUGGGCGUAAAGCGCGCGUAGGCGGACUAUUAAGUCAGAUGUGAAAUCCCAAGGCUCAACCUUGGAACUGCAUUUGAAACUGGUAGUCUAGAGAUCAGGAGAGGUUGGCGGAAUACCGAGUGUAGAGGUGAAAUUCGUAGAUAUUCGGUGGAACACCAGUGGCGAAGGCGGCCAACUGGACUGAUACUGACGCUGAGGCGCGAAAGUGUGGGGAGCAAACAGGAUUAGAUACCCUGGUAGUC
This 440-nucleotide ribosomal RNA is filed under the name uncultured bacterium. RNAcentral describes it as "bacterial SSU rRNA". It matches the Rfam family "Bacterial small subunit ribosomal RNA", at positions 338 to 795 of the family's 1533-position model. The record is from RNAcentral.